GUUUCGCUGCAGGCGGUAUACCAGGCCCUAUGGGCAAUAAUCUGAAGGAUGAUCAGUUUUCUCCUUUCUUUGGGGCUGAGGAGGAUAGAGAGGAAGAUCAGUUCUCUGUGUUAAAUGAGCAAUUUGGUCAGUAUGGUGUUCCGCCGCCAAACAAGGAAAUCCAGGUGCUAGCAGAGAAGGUCAGGGCUCUGGAAAGCCAUGCUAC
RNAcentral lists this long non-coding RNA (205 nucleotides) under Lathyrus oleraceus (garden pea). RNAcentral's name for it is "Pisum sativum (pea) long non-coding RNA (PSAT_LNC026420)". Lineage: Eukaryota; Viridiplantae; Streptophyta; Magnoliopsida; Fabales; Fabaceae. The record is from RNAcentral.